RNAcentral lists this long non-coding RNA (2220 nucleotides) under Homo sapiens (human). RNAcentral's name for it is "HSALNT0003140". The record is from RNAcentral. Lineage: Eukaryota; Metazoa; Chordata; Mammalia; Primates; Hominidae.
UGAUAAACCUCGUCUCUACUAAAAAUACAAACAUUAGCUGGACAUGGUGCCACGUGCCUGUAAUCCCAGCUACUGGGAAGGGAAGGUUGAGGCAGGAGAAUCACUUGAACCCAGGAGGCAGAGGUUACAGUGAGCUGAGCAUCUGGGCAACAGAGUGAGAUUCCAUCUCCAAAAAAAAAAGGGGGUUUCAAGACAUGCCACUGUAGGUUAUGCAGGGAAGAGAUGAGAGAUUCAGGACCAUCAGGACAGACAACCAUAUUGCUCCAUUCCCCACCCCACAUACACCCUGACUCUCUUCAUCAGGGCCAGGGGCCACCUGGUCUUACAGUGGUUCCAUAUCCAUUGUUCAUGAUCCCAGCUUCCACUGAGGGUUCAUCCAGGUGGGCCCCAAGGGGCCUAGAUGUUAAUCCCUGUCAAUCACAUUUUCCACUGCAGGUUCAACUCCAUAUACAAAGAGAACAGCAAGAAAGUGUUUCAAAAGAGGCCAUUCACUAGUGGGCGGCAUUUUACAGUCUAUGUGGUAACGUGGACUGGUUGGGGGGUGCUUCCAUUUCACCCCCCUCAGGGCUCAUAGGUGUUAGGGGACCUGCUAAAGGUCACCCUGGAGUAACUGUCAGAGCCACAGUCUACAGGAUGGCCUCCUUACCCAGUGCUUUGGAUGUCUGCAGCUGUUUUGAAACUUCAUGCAAACCGGUGGGUGCUGCAGAAUUGGCCUCUUCCAGCCACAGCAGUAAUCCUGUUACGUUCUCUCUGUGAGUCUGGGAAACAUACAGACACUGGUUGAAACUUCAGCUUUGUCAUUUACCAGCUGUGCUAUCACAGGUAAGUUUUUUGUUUUCUUUUUGUUUUUUUGAGACAGGGUCUCAAUCUGUUACCCAUGCAGGACUGCAGUGACAUGAUCGCUGCUCUUACUGCAGCCCUGACCUCCCGGGCUCGAGUGAUCCUUCCACCUCAGCCUUCUAAGUAAUUGGGACUACAGGUGUGCGCCAGCAUGCCUGGCUAAUUUUUUUUUUUUGUAUGUUGCUUAGGCUGGUCUGAAACUCCUGGGCUCAAGCAGUUCUCCCACAUUGGCUUCCCAAAGUGCUGGGAUUACAGGUCUGAACCACCGAACCGGGCCACAGGCUCUUCCACAUACUAGCUGUGUGAACUUGGACAAGUGACUUAACUUCUCUUCUCCGUGUCUGCUAACAGUCCCUACACAGAUGGUUGUUGUGAGGCUUAGUUACCAUACAAAAUUCUUAGAUUAGUGCCUGGCACAUAAUAAUAACCACAGCCCCCAAAUGCUAGUUGUCAUUCAUUAUCUUAACAUACCAUGUGAAGGUUGUGUUCUCUUACAUUCUAUAGCCCUCUGUGUUUUAAUAUAAAAUUGUGAUGUCUCUCUUUCUUUUAUUUGUAUUUUUUGAGUAAAACGGACAUUUCAGAAAGAUGUACCAGAUUUUUAUCACAUGGCUUUGUGAGACCCGACAGCCAGCCAACAUCACACACAGUCACAUGUGUGCAUGCAUGAGCACACAUGCAUGCAGACACACACACUUUGAGAAGGCCAUGCUACGCCGGGCUGCUUCCCAAAUGGGCUGAAACAAGUCCUCUUGCCCUGAAGAACCGCCUGUCCCCUCUCCCGCCCACUCAUCGCGCUCCGUGGAGUGAGGCAGGAAAGGGUGAUUGGCUCACAGCAGCAGCAUAGCUCUUAGUAAACCUGACUUGGGAGAAAGGCCUGGCUCCAGCUCCUAGCCCAAGUGUCAGAGCCUGGGUCCCAGCACUGGCUCGAUGCCCUCUUUUGCUGUGCAACCCUGGCCAUGUAACUUCACCUCUCUGAGCCCCAGCUUUGUCAUUUGUGAAAGGGAGCUAACUGUUCCUACCUCUCAGGGUUAUGAGGAUUUGACAGACACAUGGAAAGUGCCUGGCACUUCGUUGUUGCUCCAUAAAUGAGAGCUCUCAAAAGUCUGGCUCAUUUUUUAGCUCAGUAAAAGCUAUCUUUCAUAGUCUUUAAUAAAAUGGGGCUGGCCGGGCGUGGUGGCUCACGCCUGUAAUCCCAGCACUUUGGGAGGCUGAGGUGGGUGGAUCACGAGGUCAGGAGAUCGAGACCAUCCUGGAUAACAUGGUGAAACCCCAUCUCUACUAAAAAAAAUACAAAAAAAUUAGCCGGGUGUGGUGGCAGGCGCCUGUAGUCCCAGCUACUCAGGAAGCUGAAGCAGGAGAAUGGCGUGAGCCCAGGAGGCG